Molecule: ribosomal RNA, 450 nt
Filed under: uncultured bacterium
Lineage: Bacteria
Description: partial 16S ribosomal RNA
Rfam family: Bacterial small subunit ribosomal RNA
Source: RNAcentral
GUGGGGAAUCUUCCGCAAUGGACGAAAGUCUGACGGAGCAACGCCGCGUGAACGAUGACGGCCUUCGGGUUGUAAAGUUCUGUUAUACGGGACGAAUGGUACGACGGCCAAUACCCGUCGUAAGUGACGGUACCGUAAGAGAAAGCCACGGCUAACUACGUGCCAGCAGCCGCGGUAAUACGUAGGUGGCAAGCGUUGUCCGGAAUUAUUGGGCGUAAAGGGCGCGCAGGCGGCGUCGUAAGUCGGUCUUAAAAGUGCGGGGCUUAACCCCGUGAGGGGACCGAAACUGCGAUGCUAGAGUAUCGGAGAGGAAAGCGGAAUUCCUAGUGUAGCGGUGAAAUGCGUAGAUAUUAGGAGGAACACCAGUGGCGAAAGCGGCUUUCUGGACGACAACUGACGCUGAGGCGCGAAAGCCAGGGGAGCAAACGGGAUUAGAAACCCGUGUAGUCC